RNAcentral lists this transfer RNA (65 nucleotides) under Pseudeuphausia sinica. RNAcentral's name for it is "tRNA-Cys". The record is from RNAcentral. Lineage: Eukaryota; Metazoa; Arthropoda; Malacostraca; Euphausiacea; Euphausiidae.
GGUUUUGUAGUUUAAAUAAAGAUACUAGAUUGCAAAUCUGAAGAUGUACUAUUGUGCCAAAACUU